RNAcentral lists this ribosomal RNA (495 nucleotides) under uncultured bacterium. RNAcentral describes it as "bacterial SSU rRNA". It matches the Rfam family "Bacterial small subunit ribosomal RNA", at positions 47 to 542 of the family's 1533-position model. The record is from RNAcentral.
CUUAACAUGCAAGUCGAGCGGCAGCGCGGGGCACUGGUCGGCGAGCGGCGAACGGGUGAGUAAUGCAUCGGAACAUGUCCAUUCGUGGGGGAUAGCCCGGCGAAAGCCGGAUUAAUACCGCAUACGCCCGAGAGGGGAAAGCCGGGGACCGCAAGGCCUGGCGCGAUUGGGUUGGCCUGAUGUCCGAUUAGCUAGUUGGUGAGGUAAAGGCUCACCAAGGCGAUGAUCGGUAGCUGGUCUGAGAGGAUGAUCAGCACACUGGGACUGAGACACGGCCCAGACUCCUAUGGGAGGCAGCAGUGGGGAAUUUUGGACAAUGGGGGCAACCCUGAUCCAGCCAUUCCGCGUGAGUGAAGAAGGCCUUCGGGUUGUAAAGCUCUUUUGUCCGGAACGAAACGGGUUGCGUGAAUAGCGCCGCCUACUGACGGUACCGGAAGGAAUAAGCACCGGUAACUACGUGCCAGCAGCCGCGGUAAUACGUAGGGUGCGAGCGUU